CUUCCUCAGCAAAAAGAGGAGGAUUGGUGGCAGAUGUUAGCUCAGGGCUAAUCUUCCUCAAGAGAAAAAAAAAGCACCUUAGAAAUUGACCUCACAGAGUAGUAAUACGGUCCACACAGAAAGCAUGAGAGCAAGCAGGUAAUCCCAGUAGCACCAGGAACACACUUACGCCUCCUGUACUCAGACACUUCCUCGGGAGGCCCCGUGAGAGGGGAGAAACCGCACUGAUAACGCGUGAACUCGGAAUCUGCUGGAUCUGUAGCCAAAAGAGAUACUUAAAACCAGAAGUAAUGAGCCGUAUUUUAUUAGCAAGCUCCAGCAUUAUUUUCUGCCAUUCACAGAAAUCAUAUCUGCAGAACAAAAUGAAGUCAGUUACCGAAAGUAAAGCUACAACCUGUCUACUUUUUUCUAUUAAAUUUUAAUUUUAUAUUAAUAGUAUAAAUAGCUCAUUAACUUCCAAUAACUAGGUAUAACAGAGAUGUGGUGUUCAUUUUAGUUGAGCAAUAAAGUUAUCUUUAUUGUUAAUAAAGAUAAAGAAGGAAUAUCCGAUAAGAUAGUAUGUAAGUGCUACCCAAGUGAGGGUACCUACAACAACAUCUUAUAUUUGUAUAAAGAGAAUGGGGCCUCUUACACUUUGAAUACCAUGUCAGUCAAGAUUGGCUGGCCAGGGGCUGGCCCUGUGGCCGAGUGAUUAAGUUUGUGUGCUCUGCUUCAGUGGCCCAGGGUUUCACUGGUUCAGAUCCUGGGCACGGACCUAGCACCACUCAUCAAGCCACGCUGAGGUGGCUUAAAACUACACAGUUACUCGGUUGCAGUUCUGAAGGUCAAAAGUCCAAAAGGAGCCCUACAGGACUAGACUCAAGGUAUCGGCAGGGCUGGUUCUUUUCAGAGGCUCCAAGGGAGGUUCUGUUCCUUGCUUCUCCCCACUCCUGGAGGCUGCCGGAGUUCCUGGCUUGUGGCCCCAUCACUGCAAUCUCUGCUUCGGUUGCACAUCUCCUACUUCUAUAGUCAAACCUCCCUCUGCCUCACACUUGUGAUUACAUUUAGGGUCCACUUUGACAAUCCGGAUCACCUUCCUCAACCUUCUUGAGCAUCUCGAGAUCCUCAACCACAUCUGCAAAGUCCAUUUUGCCAUCUAAGAUUGGUCCUGAGCAAACACCUGUGCAAAUCUUCCUCUAUUUUGUAUGUGGGAUGCUGACACAGCAUGUCUUGAUGAGCAGUGGGAUCGAAACCUGCAAACCCCUGGCCACCGAAGCAGAGUGCACAAACUUAACCACUAUGCCACCGGGCCAGCCCCUAAAUAAAUCUUCUAUACCAAUCCUCUCCCAGUCUGCAUCAACCGAACUCUUGUAUGCCCUAGUGGGAGAGACGUCUGAGAGUCAAGUGACCUGUUUCCGGAUGACUCCUCAACACCUGCUGCAGAUGGUCGUGUUCCUUUCCUGGUUUGCUGCACCUGCUGUAUCUUGGAACCUCGGCAGGAACUGCAGUUUUAACUCUGCCACGAUGGCCUGAGACCCGUCGUGAUUCUCUUUCUGGGGCUGGGCCCACCUUCCCUAAUUUCAAGGCCUACUAUCUGAACAAAAGAGGAUUCUAGAGGCAAGAAAGAAAAAGAAACAGCUCCUCUGUGCUGGGGUAACCAGCUUCGAGGAUGGCUCUCCACGAUCCUUGCCUCGUGGUAGCCACGCUCUUAUGUAGUCCCUCCCUCAGGAAAUCAGGCAGAGCUGAGUAACCUAUAGGACCUCGUGGAAAUGAGAGUGUGGCUUCCGAGGCUGAGCAAUAAAAGACACGGGGGCUCCCGCCUGGCCCUCUCUGUUGAGGAGAGUCUCACGCUGGGGAAAGGCGGCUGCCAUGUCAUGAGGACACUCGAUCGACCCUGCGGAGGAGUCCACAUAGUGAGGGACUGAGGCCUCCCGCUAGCUUGUUUUCUUGUCUCCUCAUCCAUAAAACGGGUAUGAUAAUCAUA
Molecule: non-coding RNA, 1963 nt
Organism: Equus caballus (horse)
Lineage: Eukaryota; Metazoa; Chordata; Mammalia; Perissodactyla; Equidae
Source: RefSeq, a predicted model, not a curated record